RNAcentral lists this long non-coding RNA (756 nucleotides) under Ananas comosus (pineapple). RNAcentral describes it as "long non-coding RNA (ACOM_LNC034791)". The record is from RNAcentral. Lineage: Eukaryota; Viridiplantae; Streptophyta; Magnoliopsida; Poales; Bromeliaceae.
CUAAAAUUCUGUUGCUAGCAAAUGAGCUUUGUUGCUUCCGAUUUUGAUGAUAGAGGUUCCAAAUCGACAGAUGGCAUCAUUAAACAUGAUUUAUAUCACUUAAAAUAUCUAGAAAUUAAAUUUUAUAUCUUUUUGCCAUCAUUGAUCUAAUGAUCAAGGGGUUGCAAAAUUUGUAAUUUUAAUUUUUGAUAUUAGCCGUUUUCUGGUUUAACGGUACAAAAAAUUUAAAUCAAUUGAAUUUUAAACUAUUAAAAAUAAGAUUUAUACUCUUGAUUUUGAUUAUAAGACUCCUAUCAUAUCUUUUUUAAGAAUUUUUAUUUUUAGCCGUUUAUUUUUGUGUCCUCUUGAUGCAUAAAAUAUGAUUUCUAAAUACUUUAAUUGGUCUAGAUCAUAUUCAAUAGUAUUUAUCGUCAAUUCAAAAGCUCCAUCAUUGUAGAUAAAUUGAUAGCAAUAGAACUUGUUUUCUAUUGAUAGUAUUAUAAUUCAACUCAUUUACUAAUAGUAUUUUUCUUUUGGAAAAUAUAUGGCUUGCUACGAAACUUCUAAAAAAUAUACAGUUCUGUAGCUAGAAGGAAUAUGUGGAUUUUGCAGUAUAUACCCUGUUUGAGACAGGUGGGAUAUAUUUGUUUUGAUUGUAGAGUUGUUUGUAGCGUCCUUUUUGAUAUUUCUCACUGUAUAUUUCUUAUGCUUUCGACAAUCAAAAAAUCAAAAACAUGAAUUUUCUUAUACUUUCGAUAGUACAGUAAUUCUAUACUG